AUCCACAAUUUUAUCCGUGACAAGUACCGAUUGAAAUUUCCCGAGCUUGAAUCACUUGUCCACCAUCCGAUCGAUUAUGCACGUGUGGUGAAGAAGAUUGGAAAUGAGAUGGAUUUGACCCUUGUAGACCUAGAAGGGUUUUUACCCUCGGCUAUUAUUAUGGUGGUCUCAGUGACAGCAUCAACAACAAGUGGCAAGCCACUUCCUGAGGAAGUCCUUCAAAAGACGAUUGAUGCAUGCGAUCGAGCUCUUGCUCUUGAUGCUGCAAAGAA
Molecule: unclassified non-coding RNA, 272 nt
Filed under: Hevea brasiliensis (rubber tree)
Lineage: Eukaryota; Viridiplantae; Streptophyta; Magnoliopsida; Malpighiales; Euphorbiaceae
Source: RNAcentral